UUUACAUUAUACAUGCACAUUACAAAUUAAACCAAGCUUUAUUUGAUUACAACUUAAACAGCUCUCAUCAAGCUUACAUAAUCCAUAAAAAAUGUACCAUAGGGAAACAUAUCAAUUUCAAAAACAAACAUGACACUAUAAUGCCCAGCUAUAUAAUAACCAAACAAAAAAACUUUAUAAUUUACGUAAUUAACAAAUGAGAGGAAACAACAACAACAACAACAACAGCAGCAACAGCAACAAUAAGCGAGCUACAACUGAUGUUGAUUAAGGCCACUAAGGCAAACAGCUUUCUAGUUGUUGUUAAAGGGAGCUACUAUGCUUAAUGGGCAACUAAGCUGGGCUUGAGCGAAACAGAGCGAGAGAGCGAGAGAGAAAAAGGGAGACAGAGCGAGAGGAAAUGGAAGAUAUAGAUGGCGGGCGUGUUGAGGAAGGGAUUCGGAGGGGAGCAUGGCGUAGGUCUGGCAUUGAGCUACUGCAAGAGAGUGCGAGGAGCAAAGCCAAACAAUCAAGAGUCAGGCUAAGGAGGGGGAAGCUAUCAUACAUCGGGAAGCAGUCAUAUAUUGAACAUGAAUAUAUAGGGUAUAUACAGACGCAAUCGUCUGUAAAGAUACUUGACAUAUAUAAUUGAAUGCUGUGCGCAUAGUUCACUUCCCAGAGCUAAUCUUAUCUCUAUUAUCAGAGGAGAAAUGGGAAGAAAUAAUGCGCGUAAUUCAUUUGGCAUUUCAAGCACUGUCAACUGACUGAGAUGAUAACAACAGCAACAACAACAACAACAAGGAGAUUGGGGAGGAGGCGCAGAGAAGGAGGAGAAGUGAUAAUCAGUCUGUUUAUACAGAUGCGACCCACACUAAGGCAAUAACAACUACAACAGCAGCAACAACGAAAAGAAAACUCAGUGAAACUUGGGGGAAAAAGUCGACGACAAAAAUGUCUUUGACUGCGGAAAAAUAAAGGCAGCCAAGUGUCAUAAACAAUGGGCGAAAGGUGGAGAAAAGCAACGGCAGAGAGAGAGAGAGAGAUAGUGAGAGAGAGAUAGGAAAGAGUAACCCAAAUCAUAUUCCUAAUUGAAAUGCAACUUUGUAACGAUUUGUCGAUUUUUUUUUUGUGAAAUCUUGAGAAACAACAACAAUAAAGCACAUGGCCUUGUCUCUGGGGUAUAUUAUCGAGUAUCUAAA
Drosophila mojavensis is the source of this 1178-nucleotide long non-coding RNA. RefSeq lists it as uncharacterized. The record is from RefSeq and is a predicted model, not a curated record. The transcript is spliced from 2 exons. Lineage: Eukaryota; Metazoa; Arthropoda; Insecta; Diptera; Drosophilidae.